CCUACGGGAGGUAGCAGUGAGGAAUAUUGGUCAAUGGACGAGAGUCUGAACCAGCCAAGUAGCGUGAAGGAUGACUGCCCUAUGGGUUGUAAACUUCUUUUAUAUGGGAAUAAAAUGUUCCACGUGUGGGAUUUUGUAUGUACCAUAUGAAUAAGGAUCGGCUAACUCCGUGCCAGCAGCCGCGGUAAUACGGAGGAUCCGAGCGUUAUCCGGAUUUAUUGGGUUUAAAGGGAGCGUAGGUGGAUUGUUAAGUCAGUUGUGAAAGUUUGCGGCUCAACCGUAAAAUUGCAGUUGAAACUGGCAGUCUUGAGUACAGUAGAGGUGGGCGGAAUUCGGGGUGUAGCGGUGAAAUGCUUAGAUAUCACGAAGAACUCCGAUUGCGAAGGCAGUUCACUGGACUGCAACUGACACUGAGGCUCGAAAGUGUGGGUAUCAAACAGGAUUAGAUACCCCUGUAGUC
This 460-nucleotide ribosomal RNA is filed under the name uncultured bacterium. RNAcentral's name for it is "partial 16S ribosomal RNA". It matches the Rfam family "Bacterial small subunit ribosomal RNA", at positions 338 to 795 of the family's 1533-position model. The record is from RNAcentral.